RNAcentral lists this ribosomal RNA (497 nucleotides) under uncultured bacterium. Its description in RNAcentral is "partial 16S ribosomal RNA". It matches the Rfam family "Bacterial small subunit ribosomal RNA", at positions 28 to 507 of the family's 1533-position model. The record is from RNAcentral.
GAUGAACGCUGGCGGCGUGCCUAAUACAUGCAAGUCGAGCGAACAGACGAGGAGCUUGCUCCUCUGACGUUAGCGGCGGACGGGUGAGUAACACGUGGAUAACCUACCUAUAAGACUGGGAUAACUUCGGAAAACCGGAGCUAAUACCGGAUAACAUGUUGAACCGCAUGGUUCAACAGUGAAAGACGGUCUUGCUGUCUCUUAUAGAUGGAUCCGCGCCGCAUUAGCUAGUUGGUAAGGUAACGGCUUACCAAGGCAACGAUGCGUAGCCGACCUGAGAGGGUGAUCGGCCACACUGGAACGGAGACACGGUCCAGACUCCUACGGGAGGCAGCAGUAGGGAAUCUUCCGCAAAGGGCGAAAGCCUGACGGAGCAACGCCGCGUGAGUGAAGAAGGUCUUCGGAUCGUAAAACUCUGUUAUUAGGGAAGAACAAAUGUGUAAGUAACUAUGCACGUCUUGACGGUACCUAAUCAGAAAGCCACGGCUAACUACGCG